GCCCGGUUAGCUCAAUCGGUAGAGCGUGAGACUCUUAAUCUCAAGGCUGCGGGUUCGACCCCCGCAUCGGGCU
This is a non-coding RNA of Hypoxylon fuscum, 73 nucleotides long. Lineage: Eukaryota; Fungi; Ascomycota; Sordariomycetes; Xylariales; Hypoxylaceae. The record is from the annotation of a GenBank genome assembly.